GGGAUUUUCCUGAACUGUUGUUGUGCAGUUUUGGUUGUUUAGGCUGAGUGAUGCGACUUAGCUGAGGUAUGAUGUGAUAGGGAUCAUUUCCCGUUGUUUUUGAGUAGCAUAGGUAUUAGUAGAGUGUGCUAAUACUGUGUUUGAUUAUGUGGCAUGAUAUAAUAUGCUUUUGUGAUAAAUUGUGUUGACAAUGUGUGAUGGUAUACAUGAUG
RNAcentral lists this long non-coding RNA (212 nucleotides) under Lathyrus oleraceus (garden pea). RNAcentral describes it as "Pisum sativum (pea) long non-coding RNA (PSAT_LNC027425)". Lineage: Eukaryota; Viridiplantae; Streptophyta; Magnoliopsida; Fabales; Fabaceae. The record is from RNAcentral.